GGACACUCAGAAUCUCAGCCUGGAGGAGGUGAAGGAAAAAAGAAAAAGAAAACAGAUGCAGAGUAUGUCAAGGUCAAAUAUUACACUAGAAAUGUGCGUGAACAUGGAGCCAUUAGCAGUAUUGUGGGACAUGUCCGCUGGGACUCGAACUGAAUGGCUUCAGCCAGGAAAGCUGCUAAACUCCGGUAAACAGUGGAACAGACUCUGUCAGUGCUGCUGAGCAUGCAUCAAUACUGACAGUAACACACACCGCCUGCAAACCCACAUAAAGAUGCUACAUUUUACACUUACAGUAUAUCAAAUUUGCUUUAGAUAAACUGAGAAAGGCGGGGGAGAGAUGAAGGGAAAAAGAGAUGGUCAUCUUUACACCCCCCCUCUCUCAUGACAAUAAACAAGUUUGACAAAUG
Molecule: long non-coding RNA, 407 nt
Organism: Carassius gibelio (silver crucian carp)
Lineage: Eukaryota; Metazoa; Chordata; Actinopteri; Cypriniformes; Cyprinidae
Exons: 2
Source: RefSeq, a predicted model, not a curated record